AUACGGAGGGUGCAAGCGUUACUCGGAAUCACUGGGCGUAAAGCGCGCGCAGGCGGCUAUUUAAGUUGGAUGUGAAAGCCUAUGGCUCAACCAUAGAACUGCAUCCAAAACUAUUUAGCUAGAGUGUGGGAGAGGAAGAUGGAAUUAGUUGUGUAGGGGUAAAAUCCGUAGAGAUAACUAGGAAUACCGAAAGCGAAGGCAAUCUUCUGGAACACUACUGACGCUGAGGCGCGAAAGCGUGGGGAGCAAACAGGAUUAGAAACCCUAGUAGUCC
RNAcentral lists this ribosomal RNA (274 nucleotides) under uncultured bacterium. RNAcentral's name for it is "partial 16S ribosomal RNA". It matches the Rfam family "Bacterial small subunit ribosomal RNA", at positions 523 to 796 of the family's 1533-position model. The record is from RNAcentral.